Oncorhynchus tshawytscha (Chinook salmon) is the source of this 847-nucleotide long non-coding RNA. The record is from Ensembl. Lineage: Eukaryota; Metazoa; Chordata; Actinopteri; Salmoniformes; Salmonidae.
GAUGCUGUUUGUCUCUGUAGGACAGUAGUUCAUGUGGCUGUUUGUCUUUGUAGGACAGUAGUUCAGGUGGCUGUUUGUCUUUGUAGGACAGUAGUUCAGGUGGCUGUUUGUCUUUGUAGGACAGUAGUUCAGGUGGCUGUUUGUGUAGAUGCUGUUUGUCUCUGUAGGACAGUAGUUCAGGUUGGUGUUUGUCUCUGUAGGACAGUAAAUCAGGUUGGUGUUUGUCUCUGUAGGACAGUAGUUCAGGUGGCUGUUUGUGUAGAUGCUGUUUGUCUUUGUAGGACAGUAGUUCAGGUGGCUGUUUGUCUUUGUUUGUGUUUGUGUAGAUGCUGUUUGUCUUUGUAGGACAGUAGUUCAGGUGGCUGUUUGUCUUUGUAGGACAGUAGUUCAGGUGGCUGUUUGUCUCUGUAGGACAGUAGUUCAGGUGGCUGUUUGUCUCUGUAGGACAGUAGUUCAGGUGGCUGUUUGUCUUUGUAGGACAGUAGUUCAGGUGGCUGUUUGUCUUUGUAGGACAGUAGUUCAGGUGGCUGUUUGUCUUUGUAGGACAGUAGUUCAGGUGGCUGUUUGUCUUUGUAGGACAGUAGUUCAGGUGGCUGUUUGUCUUUGUAGGACAGUAGUUCAGGUGGCUGUUUGUCUUUGUAGGACAGUAGUUCAGGUGGCUGUUUGUGUAGAUGCUCUUUGUCUUUGUAGGACAGUAGUUCAGGUGGCUGUUUGUGUAGAUGCUGUUUGUCUUUGUAGGACAGUAGUUCAGGUGGCUGCCCUUGCACUUAGUCUGCCUCCUGCCCCCCCAUCGUCAUGGUUACACCUUCCUGAAAACAAUGACUCCAUACUUUGCUGAAACCUGUUC